RNAcentral lists this ribosomal RNA (1821 nucleotides) under Triticum aestivum (bread wheat). RNAcentral's name for it is "partial small subunit ribosomal RNA". Lineage: Eukaryota; Viridiplantae; Streptophyta; Magnoliopsida; Poales; Poaceae. The record is from RNAcentral.
AUGGUCCGUCCACUCUUCGCCCGGCUCCCGCCGCCUCCGGAUUACGCCCCUAUGUUUCCUGACUGGGUCCUCCUCGACACUGUAGUGCGCGGGGCUAACUACGACUGGAAGAAAAUGUCAAUGGCUCAAUGUUCUGCUUCCUUGGCUACCACAGCCAGAACAUUCGUGGAUGUCAAAAGUGAGGCGGAGUCCCAGGAAGAAGUGGUGGUGGAGGUGGAGGUUUCCUUCUUAUUCGUCAGCCCACCGGAUAUAUCUGGUUUCAUUGUCCAUGUCGGGGAUUAUGGGUUGUCGAAUGGUGCGUGCGUCGUCAGCACCGACGGCGAUGCUGUUCUGCUAGCCAUUACCAUGGCAGCCUUCAAGAGAAGGCGUUAUUUUGUCUACACGGCUGGCCUCGGGAAGCCGUCACUUGAGGUGCUCCCGUACCCACCAAACGAAUUUCCUCAGACCCAAUCGGUCGGCAUCCUCAACCACAGUCAGGGUUAUGUUGUGGCUGCUUUGACACCGGAGUACAGUGCCAACACCAGUAAAGCUUUUACUUAUAAGCUGUUCCAUUACUGUUCCAGGACCAGGACUUGGAGCAACAAGGUGGUGAAGCUUAGAAGUGGUUUUAGGUCUGCUGACCGUACGCAUAUCAUUGACCAUAAGACAACAAAGGUAAUCAAGGUCGGAGAGAAUUCGUUAGGGUGGGUGGACCUAUGGCAUGGAAUAAUAUCAUGUAAUCUUCUUCAAGAAGAUCCUGGCAUGCAGUUCUUUAACUUCCCCGGUCCUAUGGAUAUAAACUCUCGCUAUUAUGGAAUAAUACCAGCUAGGUCGUUCAGGGAUGUGAUAUGGACUGGAAAUACACUCAGGAUUGUUGAGGUGGAGUAUAACCAAGAUGCAAAAGCUGGUGGUGACUAUAGUUGGAAGGCGAUAAUGAAGAUAAGAAAUAAAGGUACACGAUGGGGGACACAGAAUGAUGUUGAUAGUGGAAAUAUCAUUUUAGGUGAAGAAAGUUGGAAUUUGUUAUGGCAAUCGCACACGCUGCCGGAUCAUGUUCCAAGAUCAUAUCACUUGAGUAAGCUUGAGUGUUUUGCUCCAACACUAGGCAUAGAUGAUAAUGUUAUCUACAUGAUGUCCCGGUCAUUUUUGAGUGAGGAGAAGCCUUUCGGCCUAUUUGCUGCUGUCGACAUGAACAAUAAUGAUGCCAGGCUUGUGUCCUUUUCAACAGAAAGGCUGACAUAUGUCGAUCCAAAUUAUUGUCCAUGUACUGUGUCAAGAUACUUCCAAAAUGCAGGCCUCAAUACAAUUGGAGGAAAUCUCAGGUGGAUUGGUCUGAUCAAGUUAGCAGUGCUACACGAUAUUCUUGCUGCCAUUGAGACGCUAAAGUCAUUAGAUGCAAUAUUGAUGAAGGCUGAAAGGCCGGAUGAAACGCAGCUAGAUCAAACACAUCUAAGGAAUUGUUGUGUCUCUGUUGAAAUGCUUGGCCAGUUGGCCCCUGCGAUUAUUUUUUACACCGAUGAGGUACCCCCAACCAGCAUUCGAUGCCAUGUCAUCGCACUUAAAGGGGAGUUUUCUCUUCUGGAUGAUAAGACUCUGGCCUUUAUGGACAAGGACCAGUAUGCCAGAACUGUCAAUAGCAUGCACUUCAAAAUAUGCUCGGUCAUAAAAGUGGCGCACAGUCUCGUAAAAGGAUUGCUGCCGAAGAAAUUGGACGAUCCACAUUAUUCGCUCCUAUCUGUGGAACGGUCGCUUAAGUAUGGAGAGUUGCCAUUGACACAGCACCUGAGGCGCCUUGAUGUGUCAGAAAGAGGUCCCACCCACCCUGUCAGAGGGUGGUCGUGA